RNAcentral lists this ribosomal RNA (467 nucleotides) under uncultured bacterium. RNAcentral describes it as "partial 16S ribosomal RNA". It matches the Rfam family "Bacterial small subunit ribosomal RNA", at positions 28 to 506 of the family's 1533-position model. The record is from RNAcentral.
GACGAACGCUGGCGGCGUGCUUAACACAUGCAAGUCGAACGGAAAGGCCCUGCUUUUGUGGGGUGCUCGAGUGGCGAACGGGUGAGUAACACGUGAGUAACCUGCCCUUGACUUUGGGAUAACUUCAGGAAACUGGGGCUAAUACCGGAUAGGAGCUCCUGCUGCAUGGUGGGGGUUGGAAAGUUUCGGCGGUUGGGGAUGGACUCGCGGCUUAUCAGCUUGUUGGUGGGGUAGUGGCUUACCAAGGCUUUGACGGGUAGCCGGCCUGAGAGGGUGACCGGCCACAUUGGGACUGAGAGACGGCCCAGACUCAUACGGGAGGCAGGAGUGGGGAAUAUUGCACAAUGGGCGGAAGCCUGAUGCAGCAACGCCGCGUGCGGGAUGACGGCCUUCGGGUGGUAAACAGCUUUCGCCUGUGACGAAGCGUGAGGGACGGUAAUGGGUAAAGAAACACCGGCUAACUACGU